This 445-nucleotide ribosomal RNA is filed under the name uncultured bacterium. Its description in RNAcentral is "partial 16S ribosomal RNA". It matches the Rfam family "Bacterial small subunit ribosomal RNA", at positions 354 to 796 of the family's 1533-position model. The record is from RNAcentral.
GUGGGGAAUUUUGGACAAUGGGCGCAAGCCUGAUCCAGCCAUGCCGCGUGCAGGAAGACGGCCCUAUGGGUUGUAAACUGCUUUUAUACGGGAGCAAUAAGGUCUAUGCAUAGAUUGAUGAGAGUACCGUAUGAAUAAGCAUCGGCUAACUCCGUGCCAGCAGCCGCGGUAAUACGGAGGAUGCGAGCGUUAUCCGGAUUUAUUGGGUUUAAAGGGUGCGUAGGCGGCUUUGUAAGUCAGCGGUGAAAUUUUGCAGCUUAACUGUAAAAGCGCCGUUGAUACUGUGAAGCUAGGAUUUGGUUGCUGUGGGCGGAAUGUGUGGUGUAGCGGUGAAAUGCAUAGAGAUCACACAGAAUAUCGAUUGCGAAGGCAGCUCACAAAGCCAAUAUUGACGCUGAGGCACGAAAGUGUGGGGAUCAAACAGGAUUAGAUACCCGGGUAGUCC